UACGGAGGAUGCGAGCGUUAUCCGGAUUUACUGGGUGUAAAGGGGGCGCAGACGGCGAUGCAAGCCAGGAGUGAAAGCCCGGGGCCCAACCCCGGGACUGCAUUUGGAACUGUUAAGCUGGAGUGUCGGAGAGGCAGGCGGAAUUCCUAGUGUAGCGGUGAAAUGCGUAGAUAUUAGGAGGAACACCAGUGGCGAAGGCGACUUACUGGACUGUAACUGACGCUGAGGCAUGAGAGCAUGGGGAGCAAACAGG
Molecule: ribosomal RNA, 253 nt
Filed under: uncultured Eubacteriales bacterium
Lineage: Bacteria; Bacillati; Bacillota; Clostridia; Eubacteriales
Description: uncultured Clostridiales bacterium partial 16S ribosomal RNA
Rfam family: Bacterial small subunit ribosomal RNA
Source: RNAcentral